UCUGCACUAGGGCCUGUCCAAGAAGAAAUAAACCCAGAACCUCAGACCAUAUGAACAAACAGCCCUGGUAGAACCUGUAGGUCCUGGUAGGACCAACAUCGUUCUCUAUGCAAUGGCCACACCAGACCGGGUCCUGAGAGGACGGGUCCAUCUCCCUCAGAGCGGGAGCCCGCCUCCUCCACCUGCCGGGCCCGCAGGGGGCUGGAUAAGGACACGGUUGUAGCCGCCAAUUUGUAUUCACUCCUUGUCCACGGUGCUCCCCCACUGCCCCCACCCCCAGCCGACACAGAUUUCCAGUCUGGACAGCUACGACGCCCCACUCAGUUUUCCAGUCACAUCCCAGGAGCCCUAAAUACAUCCAGAUAAGGACGAACUAAUUCCUGUGCCCCAGCCCCCAGAGGCAUUCUCUUGAUCCCGUCUGGCACAUCAGAGGCCAUGGGAAGUGCUUUUGGAUCUCCCUACGCACUGCCAUCUGCCUUGGAGACCCCCUAGGCAGCCCCAUCUUUCCUCUGAGACCUGAGCCACCCGGGACCCCAACACCCCGGGGUGAUCGGCUACGGCCUGGGUGAAGCCUACCCACCCCAAGCGCACGGGUGUCCUCACAUCCUCACAGUAAGCCUGUGUCAGAUACCUCUCCGGGAUGCUAACUGUGACUACUGAGGUCUGGGCAGCACCCCAAGGAGGAGAUGAGCGGAAGUGUGCAGCCCUCUCCGGCUCGUUCGGCUCAGCCAGCCCAGCCAAGCAAACCUCGCCCAGGGCCCUGUCUCCUGGCUGAGGCUUCUCAUGGUCACCGGACCUCCAUUCCAUCACAAAUCCUUCGGCUCUCAUCUUCCAAACUCAUCCGGAAUGGAACCUCCUCUGACACCACCAUGGCCACCGCCCUGCCCUGAGCCACCGUGGUCUCUUGCCCGGGGAGACCCAGGUAGCCUCCUGACCGGCCUUCCUCCUCCCACUUCUUCCCCCACUGCCUCUUCUCCAUAGUGGGCCCUGUAAGCCCCAUCCCAUCAUCCCUCUGCUCAAAGCCCAGGGCUCCUGCUUCCCAGAGAGCAAAAGGCAAUGCCCUUAACAUAGCUUGCAAUGCCUUGCUCACACUGAACCCCACCCCAGAUCUCAGCUCAUUUCCAAGCUGAAAUCCUCCACCCUGGCUCUCUCCAUCCUCCUUCCUGGCUUGACUGUCUGGUCUUAGCACUUAACAAUACAUGCAUUCAGCUUGUUCUUCUUGUUGCGGGACUCCCACACCAGAAGAUGGAUUUUGUCUGUCUUGACCCCCCCAUGGUGUCUCUGGCAUGUAAGCCAGUGCUUGACACCGUUCAUUAUGUAGUGGUUGAAUAAAUGGAUGAGUGUGCCCAGGA
Molecule: long non-coding RNA, 1352 nt
Organism: Pan troglodytes (chimpanzee)
Lineage: Eukaryota; Metazoa; Chordata; Mammalia; Primates; Hominidae
Exons: 4
Source: RefSeq, a predicted model, not a curated record